Molecule: ribosomal RNA, 275 nt
Filed under: uncultured bacterium
Lineage: Bacteria
Description: partial 16S ribosomal RNA
Rfam family: Bacterial small subunit ribosomal RNA
Source: RNAcentral
CCUACGGGUGGCUGCAGUGGGGAAUUUUCCGCAAUGGGCGAAAGCCUGACGGAGCAAGACCGCGUGAGGGAGGAAGGCUCUUGGGUUGUAAACCUCUUUUCUCAGGGAAUAAUCAAUGAAGGUACCUGAGGAAUCAGCAUCGGCUAACUCCGUGCCAGCAGCCGCGGUAAUACGGAGGAUGCAAGCGUUAUCCGGAAUCAUUGGGCGUAAAGCGUCCGCAGGUGGUAAUUCAAGUCUGCCGUUAAAGAUCCUGGCUCAACUGGGAGAAGGCGGUG